This 602-nucleotide long non-coding RNA is filed under the name Homo sapiens (human). RNAcentral describes it as "non-protein coding lnc-TPST1-1:8". The record is from RNAcentral. Lineage: Eukaryota; Metazoa; Chordata; Mammalia; Primates; Hominidae.
GGGUAUUCCAGGAGAGCGCAUGCGCAGACGCAUGGCCACAGACUGCCGGUCAGUGUCAGCAGGCGGUGGGUUAGGGUCCGCAGGCCCAGACCAGGCCGCCGACACCAAUAAGCUACAAGGAGGAGCUUUACCGCUGCCUGUACUACUACUGCCUGCGCUACUUCCCAGCCUGCGGCGUAGGGCGCAGCAAGGGCCUGACGCUUAGCGAGCAGGCGCUGCGCACCAAGCGGCUGUCGCCUGGAGGGCACGUUCAGGCAGAAGCUCCUCAGUGGCCACAAGUCCGCUAGCUCCGGCUACAGCCCUUGCCGCACACUCGCGUCACCUGAGCCUGUGAUGCCGAAGGACCUGUUCAAAGUAUUUUCUGUAACUCCAACUGUAACUUGGUUCUAGGAGGAGAGAAUCCAUGUUUGGUCAACAGAACUUUUCGCCGCCACUUAAGUUUACUGCUUCAAUAUCUUUUCCUUACUAAUUGAUUGUUAAUUAAGUAGUGUCCAAGUGAGUUAGCCUUUUUAGGGUUGAUUAAUUAAAAGAGCAGCAAGAAUGGCAUUUUAACUCUUCUGGUUUUUGGGGUUUUUUUUUCAGUUACUAUGAUAACUCUUUUC